UGGGGAAUAUUGCACAAUGGGCGCAAGCCUGAUGCAGCCAUGCCGCGUGUGUGAAGAAGGCCUUCGGGUUGUAAAGCACUUUCAGCGGGGAGGAAGGCGUUAAGGUUAAUAACCUUGGCGAUUGACGUUACCCGCAGAAGAAGCACCGGCUAACUCCGUGCCAGCAGCAGCGGUAAUACGGAGGGUGCAAGCGUUAAUCGGAAUUACUGGGCGUAAAGCGCACGCAGGCGGUCUGUCAAGUCGGAUGUGAAAUCCCCGGGCUCAACCUGGGAACUGCAUUCGAAACGGGCAGGCUAGAGUCUGGUAGAGGGGGGUAGAAUUCCAGGUGUAGCGGUGAAAUGCGUAGAGAUCUGGAGGAAUACCGGUGGCGAAGGCGGCCCCCUGGACGAAGACUGACGCUCAGGUGCGAAAGCGUGGGGAGCAAACAGG
Molecule: ribosomal RNA, 429 nt
Filed under: Chloroflexota bacterium
Lineage: Bacteria; Bacillati; Chloroflexota
Description: Chloroflexi bacterium partial 16S ribosomal RNA
Rfam family: Bacterial small subunit ribosomal RNA
Source: RNAcentral